GGCGAAGUAGCUCAGUUGGUUAGAGCAGAGGAAUCAUAAUCCUUGUGUCGGGGGUUCAAAUCCCUCCUUCGCUACCA
Molecule: transfer RNA, 77 nt
Filed under: Mesorhizobium sp.
Lineage: Bacteria; Pseudomonadati; Pseudomonadota; Alphaproteobacteria; Hyphomicrobiales; Phyllobacteriaceae
Also listed under: 4 other names
Description: tRNA-Met
Rfam family: tRNA
About the family: Transfer RNA (tRNA) molecules are approximately 80 nucleotides in length. Their secondary structure includes four short double-helical elements and three loops (D, anti-codon, and T loops).
Source: RNAcentral